GAUGAACGCUGGCGGCGUGCCUAAUACAUGCCAGUCGAGCGAACAGAUAAGGAGCUUGCUCCUUUGACGUUAGCGGCGGACGGGUGAGUAACACGUGGGUAACCUACCUAUAAGACUGGGAUAACUUCGGGAAACCGGAGCUAAUACCGGAUAAUAUUUCGAACCGCAUGGUUCGAUAGUGAAAGAUGGUUUUGCUAUCACUUAUAGAUGGACCCGCGCCGUAUUAGCUAGUUGGUAAGGUAACGGCUUACCAAGGCGACGAUACGUAGCCGACCUGAGAGGGUGAUCGGCCACACUGGAACUGAGACACGGUCCAGACUCCUACGGGAGGCAGCAGUAGGGAAUCUUCUGCAAUGGGCGAAAGCCUGACGGAGCAACGCCGCGUGAGUGAUGAAGGUCUUCGGAUCGUAAAACUCUGUUAUUAGGGAAGAACAUACGUGUAAGUAACUGUGCACGUCUUGACGGUACCUAAUCAGAAAGCCACGGCUAACUACGUG
Molecule: ribosomal RNA, 497 nt
Filed under: uncultured bacterium
Lineage: Bacteria
Description: partial 16S ribosomal RNA
Rfam family: Bacterial small subunit ribosomal RNA
Source: RNAcentral